This 87-nucleotide small nucleolar RNA is filed under the name Oryza punctata. RNAcentral's name for it is "Small nucleolar RNA SNORD34". It matches the Rfam family "Small nucleolar RNA SNORD34". From Rfam's summary of the family: snoRNA U34 is found in intron 5 of the ribosomal protein L13a gene in humans. U34 is a member of the C/D class of snoRNA which contain C (UGAUGA) and D (CUGA) box motifs, and functions in directing site-specific 2'-O-methylation of 25S rRNAs. Lineage: Eukaryota; Viridiplantae; Streptophyta; Magnoliopsida; Poales; Poaceae. The record is from Rfam by way of RNAcentral.
UGGUGCCUAUGAUGACUUGCAAGAUUAAUAGCCUACAUUGUUUGACAAGCAUCUUCGUGAUAUUAAUUGCAAGAUGCUGAGGCUUGA